AUUAAACGCUGGCGGCAUGCCUUACACAUGCAAGUCGAACGGCAGCACGGGGGCAACCCUGGUGGCGAGUGGCGAACGGAUGAGUAAAGCAUCGGAACGUGCCCUGGAGUGGGGGGAUAACGUAGCGAAAGUUACGCUAAUACCGCAUAUUCUGUGAGCAGGAAAGCAGGGGAUCGCAAGACCUUGCGCUCUGGGAGCGGCCGAUGUCGGAUUAGCUAGUUGGUGGGGUAAAGGCCUACCAAGGCGACGAUCCGUAGCGGGUCUGAGAGGAUGAUCCGCCACACUGGGACUGAGACACGGCCCAGACUCCUACGGGAGGCAGCAGUGGGGAAUUUUGGACAAUGGGCGAAAGCCUGAUCCAGCCAUGCCGCGUGAGUGAAGAAGGCCUUC
This 390-nucleotide ribosomal RNA is filed under the name uncultured bacterium. Its description in RNAcentral is "bacterial SSU rRNA". It matches the Rfam family "Bacterial small subunit ribosomal RNA", at positions 29 to 419 of the family's 1533-position model. The record is from RNAcentral.